CUGGUUGAUCCUGCCGGACCUGACUGCUAUCGGAUUGAUACUAAGCCAUGCGAGUCAUUGUAGCAAUACAAGGCAUACGGCUCAGUAACGCGUAGUCAACCUACCUUAUGGACGGGGAUAACCUCGGGAAACUGAGAAUAAUACCCGAUAGAACAUGAUUCCUGGAAUGGUUUAUGUUUCAAAUAAUUUAUUGCCGUAGGAUGGGACUGCGGCCUAUCAGUUUGUUGGUGAGGUAAUGGCCCACCAAGACUAUUACAGGUACGGGCUCUGAGAGGAGUAGCCCGGAGAUGGGUACUGAGACACGGACCCAGGCCCUAUGGGGCGCAGCAGGCGAGAAAACUUUGCAAUGUGCGAAAGCACGACAAGGUUAAUCCGAGUGGUUUCUGCUAAAGGAACCUUUUGACAGUCCUAGAAACACUGUUGAAUAAGGGGUGGGCAAGUUCUGGUGUCAGCCGCCGCGGUAAAACCAGCACCUCAAGUGGUCAGGAUGAUUAUUGGGCCUAAAGCAUCCGUAGCCUGCUUUGUAAGUUUUCGGUUAAAUCCAUACGCUCAACGUAUGGGCUGCCGGGAAUACUGCAAAGCUAGGGAGUGGGAGAGGUAGACGGUACUCGGUAGGAAGGGGUAAAAUCCUUUGAUCUAUUGAUGACCACCUGUGGCGAAGGCGGUCUACCAGAACACGUCCGACGGUGAGGGAUGAAAGCUGGGGGAGCAAACCGGAUUAGAUACCCGGGUAGUCCCAGCUGUAAACUAUGCAAACUCGGUGAUGCAUUGGCUUGAUGCCAAUGCAGUGCCGCAGGGAAGCCGUUAAGUUUGCCGCCUGGGAAGUACGUACGCAAGUAUGAAACUUAAAGGAAUUGGCGGGGGAGCACCACAAGGGGUGAAGCCUGCGGUUCAAUUGGAUUCAACGCCGG
This 911-nucleotide ribosomal RNA is filed under the name uncultured archaeon 19a-5. Its description in RNAcentral is "bacterial SSU rRNA". It matches the Rfam family "Archaeal small subunit ribosomal RNA", at positions 4 to 921 of the family's 1478-position model. The record is from RNAcentral.